RNAcentral lists this ribosomal RNA (168 nucleotides) under Neoglyphidodon nigroris (black-and-gold chromis). RNAcentral describes it as "partial 12S rRNA". Lineage: Eukaryota; Metazoa; Chordata; Actinopteri; Pomacentridae. The record is from RNAcentral.
CACCGCGGUUAUACGAGAGGCUCAAGUUGACAGACAACGGCGUAAAGAGUGGUUAGGGAAACUUUCAAACUAAAGCCGAACGUCCUCAAAGCUGUUUAACGCUUCCGAGUUAAGAAGCCCCACUACGAAAGUGGCUUUACUCCACCUGACCCCACGAAAGCUGUGAAA